CGGUCACAUCGCGCUGAAAUACCAGUUCUCGUACGAUCACCGACGUUAAGCAACGUCGAGUCUGGUCAGUACCUAAACGGGUGACCACUUGGGAAUACCAGCUGCUGUAAG
Acanthosepion pharaonis is the source of this 111-nucleotide non-coding RNA. NCBI's taxonomy places the organism in Eukaryota, Metazoa, Mollusca, Cephalopoda, Sepiida, Sepiidae. The record is from the annotation of a GenBank genome assembly.